AGUGAACGCUGGCGGUAGGCCUAACACAUGCAAGUCGAACGGCAGCACAGUAAGAGCUUGCUCUUACGGGUGGCGAGUGGCGGACGGGUGAGGAAUACAUAGGAAUCUACUUUUUCGUGGGGGAUAACGUAGGGAAACUUACGCUAAUACAGCAUACGACCUACGGGUGAAAGCAGGGGAUCUUCGGACCUUGCGCGAUUGAAUGAGCCGAUGUCGGAUUAGCUAGUUGGCGGGGUAAAGGCCCACCAAGGCGACGCUCCGUAGCUGGUCUGAGAGGAUGAUCAGCCACACUGGAACUGAGACACGGUCCAGACUCCUACGGGAGGCAGCAGUGGGGAAUAUUGGACAAUGGGCGCAAGCCUGAUCCAGCCAUACCGCGUGGGUGAAGAAGGCCUUCGGGUUGUAAAGCCCUGUUGUUGGGAAAGAAAAGCAGCAGAUUAAUACCCCGCUGUUCUGACGGUACCCAAAGAAUAAGCACCGGCUAACUUCGUG
RNAcentral lists this ribosomal RNA (492 nucleotides) under uncultured bacterium. RNAcentral's name for it is "partial 16S ribosomal RNA". It matches the Rfam family "Bacterial small subunit ribosomal RNA", at positions 29 to 507 of the family's 1533-position model. The record is from RNAcentral.